Molecule: ribosomal RNA, 2414 nt
Filed under: bioreactor metagenome
Description: bacterial LSU rRNA
Rfam family: Bacterial large subunit ribosomal RNA
Source: RNAcentral
GAGGGAAAGGUGAAAAGAACCCCGGUGAGGGGAGUGAAAUAGAACCUGAAACCGUUCGCUGACAGACGGUGGGAGGGCCAGGGGGUGCCUCAGGGCGUCCCGGCCUGACCGCGUGCCUUUUGGAGAAUGAGCCGGCGAGUUAAUCGGUGUCGCGAGGUUAAGGCAGGCACAGCCGGAGCCGAAGCGAAAGCGAGUCUGAACAGGGCGUAGAGUGGCAUCGAUUAGACACGAAACCCGGUGAGCUACCCAUGGCCAGAGUGAAGGCGCGGUAAAGCGCGUUGGAGGCUCGAACCGGUUGCUGUUGCAAAAGCAUCGGAUGAGCUGUGGGUAGGGGUGAAAUGCCAAGCGAACCGGGAGAUAGCUUGUUCUCCCCGAAAUAGCUUUAGGGCUAGCGUCCGAGCAUGGCUGGCGGAGGUAGAGCACUGGAUGGACUUGGGGGCCGUCAGGUUACCCAACCCAACCAAACUCCGAAUGCCGCCAGCUUGAGCCGGGCAGUCGGACUGCGGGAGAUGAGUUUCGCAGUCGAGAGGGAAACAGCCCAGACCGACGGCUAAGGUCCCCAAGUGCAGGCUAAGUGGGAAACGAAGUGGUCGUGUUGAGACAGCCAGGAGGUUGGCUUAGAAGCAGCCAUCCUUUAAAGAGUGCGUAACAGCUCACUGGUCAAACGCGGCUGCGCGGACAAUGUAACGGGGCUCAAGUCUGCCACCGAAGCCACGGGGGGAAGGGUUCGCCCUUCUCUGGUAGGGGAGCGUUGUCAGCUCACCGAAGCGUCAGGGGAACCCGGCGUGGAGGGCUGACAAGUGAGAAUGCCGGCAUGAGUAGCGAGACAUGCGUGAGAACCGCAUGCGCCCAAACCCUGAGGUUUCCGACGGAAGGUCAAUCCGCGUCGGGUGAGUCGGGCCUUAGCCGAGGCCGAGAGGCGUAGGCGAUGGACAACGGGUGAAUAAUCCCGUACCGCUGGGCGGGAGCGAAGGGGGAACGCCGCCGCAAGGGUCAGCCCUCGAGUGGAAGGGGGGGUGCCAAGCUGGCAAGGUGAGGAAGGCCGCAGGCAAAUCCGCGGCUGGAGCUGAGCCAGUGAUGGCGGGCCUACGGGCCACAAGUGACCGGCGUGGGGGCCGAGAAACGCCUCUAAGCGAUGAACGCCCAGCGCCCGUACCGCAAACCGACACAGGUGGGGAGGUGGAGAACACCACGGCGCACGAGAGAACCCUCGUUAAGGAACUAGGCAAAAUGGCCGCGUAACUUCGGGAGAAGCGGCGCCCGGGCGACCGGGCCGCAGAGAAAUGGCUCUACCGACUGUUUAACAAAAACACAGGUCUCUGCUAACGCGCAAGCGGACGUAUAGGGGCUGACACCUGCCCGGUGCCGGAAGGUUAAGGGGAUGGGUCCGGGGGGGUAACCCUCCAAAGCUCAGAACCGAAGCCCCGGUGAACGGCGGCCGUAACUAUAACGGUCCUAAGGUAGCGAAAUUCCUUGUCGGGUAAGUUCCGACCCGCACGAAAGGUGUAACGAGUGGAGCACUGUCUCAACGAGGGGCUCGGCGAAAUUGAAGGUUGCGUAAAGAUGCGCAAGACCCGCAGCAGGACAAAAAGACCCCGUGGAGCUUGACUGCAGCUUGCCAUUGCGUGAGAGCUGUGUCUGUGUAGGAUAGCUGGGAGGCGAGGAAGCCUGGGCGCCAGCCUGGGGGGAGCCGACCUUGGAAUACCAGCCUGACACAGGUCUGACCCUAACCGUGCACCGUGAGCCGGGCACGGGACAGUGGCUGGUGGGCAGUUUGACUGGGGCGGUCGCCUGCGAAAGAGUAACGGAGGCGCCCAAAGGUUCCCUCAGGUUGAAUGGAAACCAACCGUUGAGUGUAAAGGCACAAGGGAGCUUGACUGGCAGGCCGACGAGCCGCGCAGAGACGAAAGUCGGGCUUAGUGAUCCUACAGCGCUGAGUGGAAAGGCUGUAGCUUACCGGAUAAAAGCUACCCCGGGGAUAACAGGCUAGUCUUCUCCAAGAGUUCACAUCGACGAGAAGGCUCGGCACCUCGAUGUCGGCUCAUCACAUCCUGGGGCUGGAUCGGGUCCCAAGGGUUGGGCUGUUCGCCCAUUAAAGUGGUACGUGAGCUGGGUUCAGACCGUCGUGAGACAGGUCGGUCUCUAUCCGCUGUGGGUGCGGGAGAUUUGAGGGGAGCUGCUCCUAGUACGAGAGGACCGGAGUGGACGGACCGCUGGUGUGCCAGUUGUGUCGCCAGACGCACUGCUGGGUAGCUACGUCCGGACGAGAGAACCGCUGAAAGCAUCUAAGUGGGAAACUCACCCCAAAACCAGAUCUCCUUGAGACCGCUGGAAGACGACCAGUUGGAUAGGCGGGAGGUGUACGCACAGCAAUGUGUUCAGCCAACCCGUACUAAUGGUCGAACGCUUGUCUU